GACGAACGCUGGCGGCGUGCUUAACACAUGCAAGUCGAACGGUGAAGCGCCUUCCUUUUUGGUGGGUGUGGAUGAGUGGCGAACGGGUGAGUAACACGUGAGUAACCUGCCCCCUUCUUCUGGAUAACCGCAUGAAAGUGUGGCUAAUACGGGAUAUUCUGGGUCUGUCGCAUGAUGGGUCUGGGAAAGAUAUUGUUUCGGUGGGGGAUGGGCUCGCGGCCUAUCAGCUUGUUGGUGGGGUGAUGGCCUACCAAGGCGGUGACGGGUAGCCGGCCUGAGAGGGUGGACGGGCACACUGGGACUGAGGCACGGCCCAGACUCCUACGGGAGGCAGCAGGGGGGAAUAUUGCACAAUGGGCGCAAGCCUGAUGCAGCGACGCCGCGUGAGGGAUGGAGGCCUGCGGGUUGUGAACCUCUUUCGCCAGUGAAGCAGGCCUGCCUCGUUUGUGGGUGGGUUGACGGUAGCUGGAGAAGAAGCGCCGGCUAACUACGUG
This 494-nucleotide ribosomal RNA is filed under the name uncultured bacterium. Its description in RNAcentral is "partial 16S ribosomal RNA". It matches the Rfam family "Bacterial small subunit ribosomal RNA", at positions 28 to 507 of the family's 1533-position model. The record is from RNAcentral.